Molecule: ribosomal RNA, 497 nt
Filed under: uncultured bacterium
Lineage: Bacteria
Description: partial 16S ribosomal RNA
Rfam family: Bacterial small subunit ribosomal RNA
Source: RNAcentral
GAUGAACGCUGGCGGCGUGCCUAAUACAUGCAAGUCGAGCGAACAGACGAGGAGCUUGCUCCUCUGACGUUAGCGGCGGACGGGUGAGUAACACGUGGAUAACCUACCUAUAAGACUGGGAUAACUUCGGGAAACCGGAGCUAAUACCGGAUAAUAUAUUUAACCGCAUGGUUCAAUAGUUAAAGACGGUUUUGCUGUCACUUAUAGAUGGAUCCGCGCCGCAUUAGCUAGUUGGUAAGGUAACGGCUUACCAAGGCGACGAUGCGUAGCCGACCUGAGAGGGUGAUAGGCAACACUGGAACUGAGACACGGUACAGACUCCUAGGGGAGGAAGCAGUAGGGAAUCUUCCGCAAUGGGCGAAAGCGUGACGGAGCAACGCCGCGUGAGGGAUGAAGGACUUAGGAUCGUAAAACGAUGUUAUUAGGGAAGAACAAAUGUGUAAGUAACUAUGCACGUCUUGACGGUACCUAAUCAGAAAGCCACGGCUAACUACGUG